CUCCUCCCGCUCCUUCUCCCCCCUUUCCCAGGAUUUGUCCUUCCCCAAGCUUGGGUGGAUGGAGAAGGAGGCUGCAAGGAACAGGAAGAUGCUGCGGGCCCCCCAGGCAGGCCCCGAGCUGAGGACGGAGAGCACGGAGGACAAAUCCCCCCGGCAGAGCCUGCUGGGAGAGGCCGUUUUGAAGGGCUCCCCAGCGCAGGAAGGCAGCGGGGAGGAAAAGGCCUGGAGAUGCCCC
Long non-coding RNA from Myiozetetes cayanensis, 235 nucleotides. RefSeq lists it as uncharacterized. NCBI's taxonomy places the organism in Eukaryota, Metazoa, Chordata, Aves, Passeriformes, Tyrannidae. The record is from RefSeq and is a predicted model, not a curated record. The transcript is spliced from 3 exons.